AUGUCCCUGCCCCUGCCCCGUCCUCUCGUCUCUCGAUCUGAUCGAGGCCACGGCCCGGCGGGAAUGGCGGCCGAGUCGUCGGCGGCGGCCGGCAUGCGCAAGGCGCCCUCCAUGGAGUGGCGCUGGGUGUCCGCGGGGGAGGAGGAGGACGACGAGCUGGAGGGCCGCGGGGCGGGGGGCCCCGCGGCCGUCGGGGCGGCGGGCCGGGGCGGCAGCUUCGAGUCCGAGUCCGAGGACGACAACGUCGACUACGAGGACGAGGACGAGGAGCAGAGGGAGGCCCGGCAGCGCCUGAUCCGCACCGUGCCCACCGUCGACUGGUUCGACGUCGAGGGCAACGAGGUCUCCGGCGCGCAGCCGCUCGAGGACCCCGAGGAGUUUGAUUUUGGCAGGACAGUAUUUCUUGCUCUUCAGACUCUUGCUGUGGUUUUCGGAGAUAUUGGAAUAAGUCCACUGUAUACAUUUGAUGUCAUGUUCAACAAGUACCCUAUUCUUGAGGAGGAGGAUGUUCUGGGAGCACUCUCACUAGUUCUGUAUACUCUGAUUUUGAUGCCAUUGGUGAAGUAUGUCUUGGUUGUCCUUUGGGCUAAUGAUGAUGGUGAAGGUGGUAUAUUUGCCAUGUAUUCUUUAAUUUGUAGAAAUGCAAAAGUGAGUCUCAUUCCAAACCAAGUACAAGCUCAGCCUGAGAAGAGGAUGUCAAGUUUCCGUCUCAAGCUUCCCACAGAUGAGCUUGAGAGGUCCAUAAAAGUAAAGGAGAAACUUGAAUCUUCACUCAUGAUGAAGAAGUUACUUUUAGGCUUAGUACUAUUUGGGACUGCCAUGUUUAUAUCCAAUGGAGUUAUCACACCAGCAAUGUCAGUGCUGUCUGCUGUCAGCGGCUUGAAAGUUGGGAUACCAAAGGCCUCACAAGAUGUUGUGGUGAUGAUUUCAAUUGCACUUCUUGUUGUCCUGUAUAGUCUACAGAGAUAUGCCACUAGCAAAAUAGGAUUUAUAGUUGGCCCUUGUUUGCUGAUAUGGUUUUGCUGUCUUGGAGGAAUUGGCAUAUGCAAUCUCAGUAGAUAUGGAUCGGGAGCUUUUAAGGCGUUUAAUCCUCUAUACAUUUUUUAUUAUUUUGGGAGGAAUCCCUUUCAGGCCUGGCUCUCCCUUGCUGGUUGUCUUUUGUGUGCAACAGGAUCUGAGGCUAUCUUUUCAAAUCUUUGCCACUUUCCUGUACGAUUUGUUCAGUUUAUGUUUGUUCUUCUUGUUCUUCCUUGCCUUGUCUUGGCCUAUUUAGGACAAGCUGCUUUCCUCAUUGCAAACGAAAAGACACCUGAACAUAUCUUCUUUGCAUCUAUUCCAGGGAAUGUUUUCUGGCCUGUUUUCUUGCUUGCUAAUUUAGCUGCACUGAUUGCCAGUAGGACAAUGACGAUUGCUAUAUUCCAAUGCCUAAAGCAGUCCAUAUCACUUGGUUGCUUUCCUCGGCUCAAAAUUGUCCAUACAUCUCGAAAAUUUAUGGCUAAGAUAUACAUUCCAGUCGUAAAUUGGUUUCUGCUGGCUUCCUGUUUGGGCUUUAUUCUGCUCUUCCGAAGCACAUCUGAUGUCGGGAAUGCAUAUGCCAUAGCUGAACUUGGGGUGAUGAUAAUGGCCACGGUCUAUGUUACACUGAUAAUGCUUCUAAUAUGGGAAACCAAUAUUAUUAAGGUCGUGUCAUUCCUUAUCACAUUCCUAUCCUUGGAGCUGAUUUUCUUCUCAUCAGCUCUGAGUAGUGUUGGGGAUGGAGGUUGGGCACUGUUGGUCUUUGCAUCUGGUCUUGUCAUGAUUAUGUUCAUCUGGAACUACGGAACCAAACUGAAGUAUGACAGUGAACUCAAACAGAAGCUUUCAAAAGAUCUAAUGAGAAAACUGGGGCCCAACCUUGGCACAAUGAGAGCGCCUGGACUAGGCUUGGUGUACAGUGAGAUAGUGACAGGAGUUCCUGCAAUUUUUGGUCAUUUUCUGACCGCCCUCCCUGCUAUCCACUCAAUAAUCGUAUUCGUGUGCGUCAGGAAUGUGCCAGUGCCUGCGGUUCCCCAAAGUGAAAGGUUUCUUUUCCAGCGUGUUUGUACAAGGGGCUAUCACAUGUUUCGCUGUAUUGCCAGAUACGGAUACAAAGACAAGAAACAGGAGCACCAUAACACAUUUGAGCGCCUUCUGAUAGAAGGCCUUGAAAAGUUCAUACAGCGGGAGGCUGUAGAGUUGUCCCUACAGAGUGAAGAUGAUGUCGACUCCGAUGAGGAGCCUUCAACCCCUGGACAGAUAAUCACUGCGCCAAACGGCAGCCUCUACUCACUCGAUGCCCCUCUCCUGGUGGACUUUACACCUUCAGUAGACACGAUUCCUGAAACACCCAGUUGCUCAACGCCUCAAGAUCCCUCGUUGGAUUACACACAGAACCUUGAGCUGGAGCUCGCAUUCAUCAAGCAGGCGAAGGAAUCUGGAGCCGUGUAUCUCAUCGACAACCCCAUUGUCAAAGCCAGGAAGGACUCGUGGUUCUUCAAGAAGUUGAUCAUAAACUAUUUUUUCGCGUUCCUGAGGAACAACUGCCGCAGGGCGAUUGUGUCGAUGAGCAUCCCACACUCGAACCUGCUGCAGGUGCGCUUGACCUCUUAUGUCUGA
This 2634-nucleotide ribosomal RNA is filed under the name Triticum aestivum (bread wheat). RNAcentral describes it as "partial small subunit ribosomal RNA". Lineage: Eukaryota; Viridiplantae; Streptophyta; Magnoliopsida; Poales; Poaceae. The record is from RNAcentral.